CAGUCGCCACGGGAACACGAAGGGGGCUAGCGUUGUUCGGAAUUACUGGGCGUAAAGCGCACGUAGGCGGAUAUUUAAGUCAGGGGUGAAAUCCCGCAGCUCAACUGCGGAACUGCCUUUGAUACUGGGUAUCUUGAGUAUGGAAGAGGUUAGUGGAAUUGCGAGUGUAGAGGUGAAAUUCGUAGAUAUUCGCAGGAACACCAGUGGCGAAGGCGGCUAACUGGUCCAUAACUGACGCUGAGGUGCGAAAGCGUGGGGAGCAAACAGGAUUAGAUACCCCAGUAGUCCCUGUCUCUUAUAC
This 301-nucleotide ribosomal RNA is filed under the name uncultured bacterium. RNAcentral's name for it is "partial 16S ribosomal RNA". It matches the Rfam family "Bacterial small subunit ribosomal RNA", at positions 509 to 807 of the family's 1533-position model. The record is from RNAcentral.